RNAcentral lists this ribosomal RNA (484 nucleotides) under Candidozyma auris. Its description in RNAcentral is "LSU rRNA". It matches the Rfam family "Eukaryotic large subunit ribosomal RNA", at positions 99 to 652 of the family's 3401-position model. The record is from RNAcentral. Lineage: Eukaryota; Fungi; Ascomycota; Pichiomycetes; Serinales; Metschnikowiaceae.
CGGCAAGAGCUCAACUUUGGAAUCGCUCCGGCGAGUUGUAGUUUGGUGGUGGCCACCACGAGGUGUUCUAGCAGCAGGCAAGUCCUUUGGAACAAGGCGCCAGCGAGGGUGACAGCCCCGUACCUGCUUUUGCUAGUGCUUCCUGUGGCCCACCGACGAGUCGAGUUGUUUGGGAAUGCAGCUCUAAGUGGGUGGUAAAUUCCAUCUAAGGCUAAAUAUUGGCGAGAGACCGAUAGCGAACAAGUACAGUGAUGGAAAGAUGAAAAGCACUUUGAAAAGAGAGUGAAACAGUACGUGAAAUUGUUGAAAGGGAAGGGCUUGCACCCAGACACGGUUUCGGCCGGGCCAGCAUCAAGUAGAACGGGGUUAAAAGACUUGGGGAAUGUAGCUACUUCGGUAGUGUUAUAGCCCUUGGUGAUGACCCCUGUUUUGCUUGAGGACAGCGGUCUCUAGGAUGCUGGCGCAAUGGUUGCAAGCCACCCGU